RNAcentral lists this ribosomal RNA (732 nucleotides) under uncultured bacterium. Its description in RNAcentral is "bacterial SSU rRNA". It matches the Rfam family "Bacterial small subunit ribosomal RNA", at positions 65 to 819 of the family's 1533-position model. The record is from RNAcentral.
UUCGGGAUGAUGAAUUUAGUGACUUAGUGGCGGACGGGUGAGUAACGCGUGGGUAACCUGCCUUACACAGGGGGAUAACAGUUAGAAAUGACUGCUAAUACCGCAUAAAACAGCAGCACCGCAUGGUGCAACUGUCAAAGAUUUAUCGGUGUAAGAUGGACCCGCGUCUGAUUAGCCAGUUGGUGGGGUAACGGCCUACCAAAGCGACGAUCAGUAGCCGACCUGAGAGGGUGACCGGCCACAUUGGGACUGAGACACGGCCCAAACUCCUACGGGAGGCAGCAGUGGGGAAUAUUGGACAAUGGGCGAAAGCCUGAUCCAGCGACGCCGCGUGAGCGAUGAAGUAUUUCGGUAUGUAAAGCUCUAUCAGCAGGGAAGAAAAUGACGGUACCUGACUAAGAAGCCCCGGCUAACUACGUGCCAGCAGCCGCGGUAAUACGUAGGGGGCAAGCGUUAUCCGGAUUUACUGGGUGUAAAGGGAGCGUAGACGGAAGUGCAAGUCAGAAGUGAAAGCCCGGGGCUUAACCCCGGGACUGCUUUUGAAACUGUGCAUCUAGAGUGCAGGAGAGGUAAGCGGAAUUCCUAGUGUAGCGGUGAAAUGCGUAGAUAUUAGGAGGAACACCGGUGGCGAAGGCGGCUUACUGGACUGUAACUGACGUUGAGGCUCGAAAGCGUGGGGAGCAAACAGGAUUAGAUACCCUGGCAGUCCACGCCGUAAACGAUGAAUACUAG